UGUAUCUGAAGCCUGACGAGGAUGAGAACCUCCGGGGNNNNNUUCGACCCGAGCGAAGCGAGAGAACGUUGCGUCAGCAACAGCCCGCAGGGCGAGCCACGCAGUGGCGAGUCAUCCUCUAUCACCGACAG
RNAcentral lists this small RNA (131 nucleotides) under Salmonella sp. zj-f75. Its description in RNAcentral is "RtT sRNA". It matches the Rfam family "RtT RNA". Rfam says of the family: This family represents a bacterial cis-regulatory element known as RtT RNA. The exact function of RtT is unknown although it is thought that it may be involved in changing the cellular response in relation to amino acid starvation. The record is from RNAcentral. Lineage: Bacteria; Pseudomonadati; Pseudomonadota; Gammaproteobacteria; Enterobacterales; Enterobacteriaceae.